This 253-nucleotide ribosomal RNA is filed under the name uncultured bacterium. RNAcentral describes it as "partial 16S ribosomal RNA". It matches the Rfam family "Bacterial small subunit ribosomal RNA", at positions 524 to 776 of the family's 1533-position model. The record is from RNAcentral.
UACGGGGGGGGCAAGCGUUGUUCGGAAUUACUGGGCGUAAAGGGCUCGUAGGCGGCUAAUUAAGUCAGAUGUGAAAUCCCUCGGCUUAACCGGGGAACUGCGUCUGAUACUGGAUGGCUUGAAUCCGGGAGAGGGAUGCGGAAUUCCAGGUGUAGCGGUGAAAUGCGUAGAUAUCUGGAGGAACACCGGUGGCGAAGGCGGCGUCCUGGGCAGGCAUUGACGCUGAGGAGCGAAAGCCAGGGGAGCAAACGGG